AUUGAACGCUGGCGGCAUGCCUAACACAUGCAAGUCGAACGGUAACAAGAAACGGCUUGCUGUUUCGCUGACGAGUGGCGGGCGUGUGAGAAAUGUCUGUAAAACUGCCUGAUGGAUGGGGAUAACUACUGAAAACGGUGGCUAAUACCGCAUAACUUCUCAAGAGCAAAGAGGAAAAGCCACAGGCCGCCUUCCUGCCACUUUUCCCAGGUGGCAUUAGCCUGUUGGUAGGGUAACGGCUCACCAAGGCCACGAUCCAUAGCUGGUCUGAGAGGAUGACCAGCCACACUGGAGCUGAGACACGGUCCAGACUCCUACGGGAGGCAGCAGUGGGGAAUAUUGCACAAUGGGCGCAAGCCUGAUGCAGCCACGCCGCGUGUAUGAAGAAGGCCUUCGGGUUGUAAAGCACUUUCAGUGGGGAGGAAGGGAGUAAAGUUAAUACCUUCGCUUAUUGACGUUACCCGAAGAAGAAGCCACGGCUAACUACGUG
Molecule: ribosomal RNA, 490 nt
Filed under: uncultured bacterium
Lineage: Bacteria
Description: partial 16S ribosomal RNA
Rfam family: Bacterial small subunit ribosomal RNA
Source: RNAcentral